Molecule: small nuclear RNA, 306 nt
Filed under: Nannospalax galili (Upper Galilee mountains blind mole rat)
Lineage: Eukaryota; Metazoa; Chordata; Mammalia; Rodentia; Spalacidae
Description: 7SK RNA (ENSNGAG00000009025.1)
Rfam family: 7SK RNA
About the family: 7SK was discovered as an abundant small nuclear RNA in the mid-70s but a possible function has only recently been suggested. Two independent studies have found that 7SK RNA binds the CDK9/cyclin T complex (known as elongation factor P-TEFb). P-TEFb activates transcription by phosphorylating the C-terminal domain of RNA polymerase II.
Source: Rfam by way of RNAcentral
AAAUGUGAAGGUGAUCUGGCUGUGCCAUCUGUCACCCCAGUGAUGGACAGGGUUGAUUUAGCUGCCCUGGCUGACUGGGUGGGUGCCCCUCCCCCUUCACCAUUCCCAUACAUCCCAAACUUGCACAAUUAGUGGUGGUGGACGGGCUUCCCUGAUAGAGGCGGAUCUGUCUUCAGUCAAAGAUACAGAGUCACUGUGCUCCCCUGCUGGACCCUUCAAAUUCUCAAGGUCCAUUUGUAGGGGAACCCAGCAUGCUCAGGCUUCCAGACAGACAUAUCCAGAUGAGAUGCUGCUCUGUCUUUGUGU